UAAAAUAUUAGGAUAAGUAUAAGUAACUUGUGUUUCUUUGUAAAUAAAUAAUAUAUACUCUAUUUUCCUAGUUUACAUUUAUUUCCAAACAUAAAUGCCAAAUUUAAGACAAUAAACCUUUUUAUAGUUUUUUUUUUAACUCUUGAUUUAUUAUUUAUUACAAAUUAUGAGAAUUGUUACAAUGACGAUUCUACUACCGACAAUUCUGUCCGACCAUUUUAGAUUCACCACAGAUUACACCCUUUCCUGACGACACCUCCUUCUUCAUGCGUAGAAUCACGGCGAACGGGUCUAAUUGUGCAUUCUUAUAGACCUCAUGUAAGCUUAUCUCCUUAAUCUGCAAAUUAAAUAAAUCGCAUUACCUGGGCGUCGAACCCCAGACCACUUAGUGUAGAAGCUUUAAACAACCCUUCGUCAACCACUAGACUAAGGGAGCUUCCACA
Molecule: long non-coding RNA, 443 nt
Filed under: Capsella rubella
Lineage: Eukaryota; Viridiplantae; Streptophyta; Magnoliopsida; Brassicales; Brassicaceae
Description: long non-coding RNA (CRUB_LNC003082)
Source: RNAcentral